This 253-nucleotide ribosomal RNA is filed under the name uncultured bacterium. RNAcentral describes it as "partial 16S ribosomal RNA". It matches the Rfam family "Bacterial small subunit ribosomal RNA", at positions 524 to 776 of the family's 1533-position model. The record is from RNAcentral.
UACGUAGGUGGCGAGCGUUGUCCGGAUUUACUGGGCGUAAAGAGCGCGCAGGCGGUCGUACAAGUCGCGUGUGAAAGCCCCCGGCUCAACUGGGGAGGGUCACGCGAUACUGUUCGACUCGAAGGCAGGAGAGGGAAGCGGAAUUCCCGGUGUAGUGGUGAAAUGCGUAGAUAUCGGGAGGAACACCAGUAGCGAAGGCGACUACCUGGCCUGUUCUUGACGCUGAGGCGCGAAAGCUAGGGGAGCAAACGGG